RNAcentral lists this ribosomal RNA (465 nucleotides) under uncultured bacterium. RNAcentral describes it as "partial 16S ribosomal RNA". It matches the Rfam family "Bacterial small subunit ribosomal RNA", at positions 28 to 507 of the family's 1533-position model. The record is from RNAcentral.
GACGAACGCUGGCGGCGUGCUUAACACAUGCAAGUCGAACGGAAAGGCCCUGCUUGCAGGGUACUCGAGUGGCGAACGGGUGAGUAACACGUGGGUGAUCUGCCCUGCACUUCGGGAUAAGCCUGGGCAACUGGGUCUAAUACCGGAUAGGAGCCAUUUUUAGUGUGAUGGUUGGAAAGUUUUUUCGGUGUAGGAUGAUCUCGCGGCCUAUCAGCUUGUUGGUGGGGUAAUGGCCUACCAAGGCGGCGACGGGUAGCCGGCCUGAGAGGGUGGACGGCCACAUUGGGACUGAGAGAAGGCCCAGACUCCUACGGGAGGAAGCAGUGGGGAAUAUUGAACAAUGGGCGCAAGCCUGAUGCAGCGGCGCCGCGUGGGGGAUGACGGCCUUCGGGUUGUAAACACCUUUCGCUAGGGACGAAGCUUGUUGUGACGGUACCUAGAUAAGAAGCACCGGCUAACUACGUG